CACUGUAGGUGGAACAUGGGUGAGAGGAAAGAAGCGGUAUCCAUCACUUAAAUACCAUCUAUGUAACUUCGAUUUUCCUCUCACACGUUAUAGUGCUUCAAAGACCUCGGUGGCUAUUAAGUUGCUUUCCAGAGGGUCAGAUUGCUGUCAAAAUGAGUGAAACACCUUCAACUAGUUACUCGGUGAAUCAGCCAAACUCCUCCGAGAGUGAACAGACUUUAUCCACACACCAUUUCAAUGUUACUGAACCUGUUGUGGCAAAACGGAUCUGUUUCUAUAAAAGUGGAGAUCCUCAGUUUAAUGGGAUCAAAAUGGUCAUCAACAACCGGUCUUACAAAACAUUUGAUGCCUUGCUGGAUAGUUUAUCCAAACGGGUCCCAUUACCCUUUGGAGUAAGGAAUAUUAGUACACCAAAAGGGAGACACAGCAUCACCAAUUUGGAGGAUCUUGAGGAUGGAAAAUCUUACAUUUGCUCCCAUCAGAGGAAAAUGAAGCCCAUCAACCUGGAACAGGCUAGCAAAAAGCCGCUGCCCUGGCAGAUCAGUAGGCCCGUCAGCGCUCGCCGUCGAGCUGUGCAAUUAGCAAGGGAGAAUGAAGAUGGAUUUGGCCAUCGAGAAAGCAAAAUAACAACUCCCAAAAAGAUGCUUGUUUACAAAAAUGGGGAUGUAAGACUCAGGCGCACCAUAGUUCUGGGAAAGAAAAAUACACAAACCUUUGAGGCCUUUCUGGAUUAUAUGAGUGAGUUAAUGCAAUACCCAGUUGUGAAACUAUAUACCACUGAUGGCAGAAAGGUUCCUAAUCUUCAUGCCCUGAUAUUGUGCUCUGGAGCUGUAGUCGCAGCGGGGAGAGAGCCUUUUAAACCAAGCAAUUAUGAUUCUCUUGGGUAUUCACGUCCUGCUAAAUUGCUUGCAAUUGCAAAUCGUGUGUACCCGAAAGCAAAUGCCAAGUCAGAAAGUGAAAAUACUAUGAAAUGGAAAGUGUCAGUCCUCACCAGUGAUAUGCCAUCUGCAGGAACAAGCUCAAAGGUUUAUGUUACAUUGUAUGGUGAUCACAGCAGUUCGGGGCCUAUUUUUCUUGAUGGAGAGGAGGGAAAAUUAUUUCAGAGAGGCAAUGAAGACAUCUUCACAGUUAAUACUGGAAACAUAGGACAUCUCUACAAAAUACGCAUAGGACAUACAAAUACAGGAAACUCCCCUGCCUGGCACUGUGAAGAGGUGCAGUUGCUGAACCUUUUCUCAGGGGAACAGUUUUCUUUCCCUGCACAUCGAUGGCUGGCCUGGGACCAGGCUGAUGGGGAAAUAUCUAUGGAGCUUCCUGUUUUACAGCAGGGUCAGCCUAUUCUUCCAGUGACUGUCUAUGAAGUGCAUGUGACAACAGGAGAACUGUGGAAUGCUGGAACUGAGGCUGAUGUCUAUAUUUCUAUCUAUGGAGAAAGAGGUGAUGCAGGAUCAAGACAGCUGCUCAGGUCACAGAAACCCAAGAAAUUUUUAAAAGGACAAACUGACAUCUUUGCUGUUGAAGCUGUACACCUUGGACAUUUGUACAAGAUUGUUGUAGGACACAAUGGUCUUGGGUCAGGAAACGGCUGGUUUCUGGACAAAGUUACAAUCAAGGAUCCUCUAACAGAUUUGGAUUAUACUUUUCUUUGUCACAGGUGGCUGGACCAGGGGCAGGAUGAUGGCAAUAUUGCUAGAGAACUGACUGUGACAGAUACCAGCACAUUUCCAGGAAGACAAGAGCUGGAACUCAGGAGACAGGAAACUUGGACUGCAGAAAAGUGGAAAUUUCAGGAAGGCAAUACACUUCAGUUUUACAACAGGCUCACCCAUGGCUUCAUUUGUCUCAGUCCAGACAGCAGAGUUGAUGCUCUUGGUGACAAGAAAAACAAAUACGGUCUUUUUGAUGUAAAUGUCAAAAGGAGAAAUAUAUAUAUAUUCAGCAGUCAUCACAUGCCACGUCUUGCUCUUGCUCUUGUCAAUGGCCAUGUAAUUGGAAAGGGGAAAGACAAGACUUGCUGUGAGCUCUGCAUUCACCUUCAACCAAAUGGUUGUGCCAUUCUUGAGUCGGCCAGGAACCCAGGUCACGCUGUCACGUUCAAUCUUCAAGGCAAAGUAGCUGAUGAAACAACAACAGGAUAUGCUGGACUUUCCAGAGAAUUUGUUGUGCAUGUCAAGGGUGUGUUUCACCAUGGUGCCAUCAUUCUGCUCAACACAAGUCUCUGCCAGGCUCUGUCCCUUAGACCUGAUGGGAGCUGCAGCGGAGCAGGUCAGCAGCAGCAGGAAUCCUACUGGAAGGUGCAUAAAAUUGGCUCUGGAGUCUGCAUGUUUGAAAGUGUGAGAAACCCAAGAAUGUAUCUGAAGAUCAAAGAUGACCAGUGUAACGGAACAGGCACAGGUGAUGAAUACUGUCACUUUAAAAUUGAGAAGAAUUUGGAAACUGGAUCUGUAAGUCUAGAAUCAGUGCAAAAUAAAGGGAUAUAUGUUGGUCUCCUGCCGGAUGGGCAGACUAAGCCAGUCAUUAACACUGGAGAGAGAAACAUUUUUUUCUACCCACAAGUCAUCAAAUUUGGCCGGAAAGAGCCUAUGGGAACAUCUGCAGCACCCAGUCAAGAGAAGAAAGACUUCAGAGAAUCUCCACUCCAACCAGCAAAAGCCCCAAAGUCAGCAUCUCAAAGCCUUUCAACUUUUCCACCCUCAAAGGAAAUGAGAAAUCCCCAAGGUGGUGAGUAUCCCCUUCCUUCAGAUGAUGAAUGGAAAGUGUCAUUGCUGACAGGAAACGCGGGAACUGAAGCAAAUGUCAUUCUCUGGAUAUAUGGAGACAGAGGAGUAGCUGGACCAAUAACUCUUGCCAAGGACAACAGAAAGCAGCUGUUUCUUCCCAGGCAGGAGGAUGAAUUUCAGGUUAAAAUAAAAAGCAUUGGGAAUAUCUACAAGAUAAGAAUUGAACUUGAUGGAUUACUGAAUGAGCAAUCAGAAUGGAACUUGCAAAGGGUGAUGCUGCAACACCUAAAGAGCAAGAAAACACUGAAUUUUCCAGCAAACACGUGGCUGUCAAAGAACCGUGAUGAUAGAAAUUUUCUCUGUGAACUUCCAGUAGUGGAAGCUGGAAAACCUGUCUAUCCAAUUGUUUUAUACCACGUUUAUGUCUACACUGGUGACUUGGAGCAAGCUGAUACAGAUUCUGCAGUUUAUCUGUGUAUCUAUGGAAAAAGAGGAGAUUCUGGUCUAAGACUUCUGCGUAAAUCUGGUAUACCAGCGACAUUUCAGAGAGGAAUGACCAAUGCUUUUGAAGUGGAAGCUGUAUCUCUUGGAAAACUGCAGAAGGUGCUGUUGCGCUGUGAGGCUAAUGCCAAGUCCCGGUAUUGGUACUGUGAUAAAGUCAUUGUCAGAGAAGCUGAGAACAGCUCGGAAUAUGUUUUCAAUUGUGAAAGGUGGCUUCCAUUUAUGUCCCAAGGUGUAACUCAUUCAGAAAUUGAGCUAUACCCUCAAGAAUUUCAAAUAAAUCAACAGCUGAAAAUGCAAGAAGCAAAUGAAGGAGACUGGAAGAUUACUGUAGUCACUGGGGAUUUUGAAACAGCUGGCACAACAGCAACAGUAUCCCUUUACGCUUAUGGAGAAAACAAAGCUUCUGGUCCUAUUAUUUUGGGAUCUGGGAAACACCAGCUGUUUAAUCCCAACAGUGAAGAUACAUUUAAGAUUAAUCUCAGGGAUGUUGGGCAGCUAUAUAAAAUUCGCAUUGGCCAUGACAACAGUGGAAAUGAUCCCAGUUGGUACCUGGAGGAAGUCAGACUUGAAAGACUAGUCCCUCUUUCUGAUGAAGAGAUUUGUCUCCCCAUAGAGUGCUGGCUUGCAGAAGACAAGGGAGAAGGUGAUACGUGGAGAGAAGUGGCAAUAAGAAACCCUGCAAAGGAGCUUUUGCCAUUGUUGGUGUAUGAGGUCCACGUAUACACGGGUGAUAAACUUGGUGCUGAAACAGAUUCUAAUGUUUAUAUCAACCUCCUUGGGACAAGAGGAGAUGCUGGCAAAAGGAGGCUCCAUAGAUCUAAGAAUAAUAAUGUAAAAUUCCGACAAGGACAGAUGGAUAUUUUCUACAUAAAGGCUGUCUCACUGGGAGACUUGGAGAAAGUUCUGAUUAGCCAUGAUGGAGCUGGUCCAGGCAAUGGAUGGUUCCUGGAUAAGAUUGUCAUCAAACAUAAUGAAGGAAAGGAAGCUCGGGAGGUUGUAUUUCCUUGUAAUAGAUGGCUAGAUGAAUAUCAAGAUGAUGGGAAAACUGAGAGGGAGCUAACUGCCAUUAACGAUGGCAAUUCACAGAAGGCAUUCCUUAAAGCACAACAGUGGAGAGUGCAGGUUCAAACAGAUGGAGAUUCCCCAGAGCCACAGGAGUGUAAAAGGACCCUUGUGAUUUAUGGCUCAAAGGGCAAAAGUGAUGAGCUUCUGCUUUCGCCGCAAACCCCAGGAUAUGUGCGCUUUCUACCUAGAGCAACAGAUGAAUUCAUUGUUGAGACUAGAGAUCUGGGAGAUGUCUACAAGAUUCGGGUCACCUGUGAUGAUGUGCCAGGCUUUGAGGGUUGGCAUUUGAAGUCUUUUCACUUAGAAGAGCUACACACAAAACAAGAACUGAACUUUGACUGUAACUGCUGGCUCUCUCUUAAUAGAGAAGACAAGGAGCUGGUGAAAGAAUUCCCUGCAGUCAAUGAGGACCAGAAAACUUUACCAGUCUAUAAGUAUGUUGUCUCUGUACAUAUUGGAGACCACUGGGAGGCAGAAACUUUUGCAAAUGUUUAUAUCACUCUCUAUGGAAAAAGAGGAGACACAGGUAUGAGGAAACUUCAUACAUCUUUAGCAAAAGGAAGAAAAUUUCAAAGGAAUAAGGUGGAUUCAUUUUUGGUAGAAGCUGUUUCUCUAAGUCAUUUGCAAAAAGUGGUCAUAGGACAUGAUGGAGAAGGCUAUGGGGCUGGGAUGUACCUCAAGAUGGUAACAGUCAAGGAAUCACAAGACUCAGACAAAGAAUGGGUGUUCCCAUGGUGGAAUUGGCUUGAUACUCAUCUGGGGUUAUGUGAGACUGUUUGUGAGGUUGUGACAGUUGGUAUGAGAUUGAUUUCUAGUCCUAAACUGCCUGAAAUCAACAUGAAGUCAUCAGGUCUCUGGAUAAUGGACAUCACUGGAUCUGACUUGAGCAAUGAAGUGGAUCCAAUACGCCUUUCUUUUAUCUUCUACGGCAACCUGAAGCACAAAAAGUUGCCGCUUCAAGUUACAGGAAAAGCAAUUCAAAUCAAAGAUGAACUGGCAGAUAUUGGCUUCAUAUACAAAGUUCAGGUAACCGGCCCACAUAGCGAGCUAAAACAGCCAUGGCACUUAGAUUUACUGCAUAUGAAGCACACAGGCACAAAGGAAGAAAUGUAUUUAGCUUUUGACUGCUGGUUCAACCCUAAUGAAGACAAAUGUGUGGAACUGCCAGCUCUCUAUGCAGAUCAGGAGCCUUUGCCUGUUGUGGAAUACGCAAUCCAUUUGCACACGGGAGACUUGAAGAAAGCAGAUGCCACUGGUGAGGCCUAUCUUCGUAUACAAGGAGAAAAGAGUGACUCGGGGAAAAGAUGGCUUAAUUCAAGAAACAGCCUGAUCACUUUUGCUAGAGGGCAGGUGUAUGUUUUCAAAAUCAAAGCAGUAUACCUUGGCAAGUUGAACCAAGUUGUUGCUGGAUUUAAGAGUCUAAAAAAAGAUGAGUGGUUCUUGGAAAAAAUUGUUAUAAAAGAAGUCCUCUACCCUUUCUCUGCACAUAUUUUUGUUCACAAUGACUGGAUCAAUAAAUGCUCCAAGAAAGAGUUUGUGGAAGUGGCAAUUCCGCUCAAAGAAACAUCUGUGACAUCUCUUCUCACAAAAAAUUUUGAUACUAAAAGCAGAGGACGAUGGCAAACAUGGGUACACUGUACACGAGUUCCAGAAGAUGUUCCUGAUAUUCAAAUUGUUGUAUUUGGAAGAAAAGGGAAAUCCCCUGCACAGAAAGUUCAGAAUCUGAAUGAUAAUCCAUUUUUGUUGACUGUUGGUGAUAUUGGAGAUAUAACAAAAGUUUCCUUUGUGUUAUCUGGUCCAUGCUUGGGAAGAGGAAUUAAACUUCACAAGCUUCGGCUAAAAGACCUGGACACUAAACAAGAGUUGGGCUUUCACACUGAAGCCCGAUGUCUGUUUGGAGAAGAUGGAUCUGAGACCGUGACAGAGCUAGCAGUGGUCAGGCCAGACAAGCCACCACUCCGGGGAGUUCUUUACUCGAUCAGUGUUCAUACAGGAACAUUGCCUGCAUCAGGGACUGAUGCAGAUGUAUUUAUCACAGUAUUUGGAGAGCAGGGAGAUUCCUGCAAAAGGAGACUAAGACACUCAAAUUUUGAAAGAGGACAGGUUUGUAUCUCUGAAAUGAGAGCAGUAGACCUUGGACAGUUAAGCAAAGUGCUUGUUGAGCACCAUAAUGUGGGUUAUGGAGCUGGAUGGUACCUGGAUCAAAUUGUCAUCCAUGAAUCAGGCAAGACUGAUGGCCAAUAUGCAUUUCUCUGCCAGCAAUGGUUAGACAGUGGAGUUGGUGAUGCACAGACGGAACGAAUGUUGAAACUUCUUGGAAAAGUCAGGAAUGGGAUGUUGACAGGAAAGAUUCAUGGGACUUGGGAUGUUCUUGUCACAACUAGUGAUAUUUCUUCUAGUUCCAUGAAUCCUACAAUGUGUCUAACUGUAUGUGGUGCAAAAGGUACCAGUACUUCAGUCAUAUUCCCCAAACGAUCCCUUAAAAAAAAGCAGAUUUAUGAGACUUCAAUUGAACUAAAUAAGAAAUUCAACACUAUAUUCAAAGUUCGCCUAGAAAUUGUAGAAGCUGGAGAAGGAGAGACUUGGCAUUGCCGUGAGGUAAAGCUUCAGCACAGAGAAAGUAAAAAUAUUCUAGAAUUUCCAUUUUGUUGCAACUUUGCAGAUGAAGAAGGAGGAAGAGUGGCUGAGCUUCCAGUUCUCACAGCUGGCUCUCCUUUUCCAGCAGUGAAAAGCUAUGUUCUCUAUAUCACUACGGGAGCAUCCCCUGGGUCAGGAACAGAUGCAGAUGUGUAUGUUGUGCUGCAAGGCCUUUUGGGAGAUACUGGCAGAAGAAAGUUAAUCAGAAAAGGAGAUGAUAAUUUCACUAAAGGAAAGGUGGAUGUUUUUCAAGUGGAAGCAGUAGAUGUUGGGAUUCUGCAAGUGGUGGUGGUUGAAAAAGGAAAAGGCUCUGACUGGUUUCUGGAGAAGAUUAUUGUGAAAGAGGCAGCAGCUGCAGGGACAGAAACAUUGUUUAUGGCUCAAACAUGGUUAAAAGACAGACGCGAUGGAAAAAGAUCUGCCUCAGUAGCUCUGAAUGCCACAGAAAUUCAGGAGAGGAGGAGCACUUCUGCCUGGCCUUUAGGAAAAGAACAAAUGAAUUCAGAAGGCAAAUGGAGGAUUUAUUUCACAAAACAUCAAGAAGAAACAAAAACAGACUUUGAAAAGUUGUCAGAAAAUAUAUCCAACUUGGUUAUGGUUUUUUAUGGAAGCAAUGGCAAGUCAAAUCCGGUUUCCAUGGAAAACAAAGUGGAACAUCAGGCUAAGAACCAAAUAACAUAUGAUAUACAUUUACCAUCUGAUCUGGGAAUGCUUUAUAAAGUGAGACUUGGUCUCCAGAGUUUGGAAAACAGCAUAUCCCAGUUGUCUCUUCGUCACUUUAAAAUGCAGAACACAUCAACCCUGGAUACCUUUAGUCUUACCAUAAAUAAAACACUUCCUCUUUCUCUUAAUGGAGACAGAUGGAUUGAAUUCCCUGUAGAGUGGCCGUUAAAAGAAGCACUUUCUGUGGUUACGUAUCAUCUAACAGUAUUUUCAAGAAACAUUUUGAGUGAGAGAAAUUUGGUGCAUAUGACUGCAUGUAUAUAUGGUACUCACGGUGACACAGGGGACAGAUCCCUUCUCUGGUCAUUGCAGAAUGUCCAGCAGGGAGAGAACAAUGAGUCAUUUGUAGUUAUCGUGGAUGCUGUUGAAUUGGGAGAACUGGAGAAAGUUGUUCUUUUGAUCGGCAGUAAAACAGACUGCAAACUGGACAUUAAAAAAUUGCAUUUGAAAGAAGCUGUAAAGGAGCAUCCCAUCUAUGUAUUUGAAGUGAAUGAAGCAUUUUCUGUGGAUGCAAAUAAGCCAGAAAUACAGAGAGAAAUCCCGGUAUCUUUUGUUAUUAGAGGAGACAAACAAAAGAAUGACAUAGAUAACAACUUACAUAAAGAUGGAAGUCAAGCAAGCAAUCUGACAGAGUAUACAAUUAAAGUAUACACAGGUGACAAAAGGGGAGCAGGGACUGAUGCCAAUGUGCAUAUUAUUUUAUUUGGGAAUGAGGACAAAUCUGAGGUAUUUCAGCUCUCUCAGUCACUGGAGCAUCGAAACCCCUUUGAAAGAGGAAGGGUUGAUACAUUCAAGAUUAAGACAAAAAAAUUAGGAAGCCUACAUUCAAUUGAAAUUGGUCAUGAUGGGAAAGGAUUUGCAAGUGGCUGGUUCCUGGAAAAAGUAGAAAUCACAGAUGCAUCUAGGAAUUCAGUGUAUUGCUUCAACUGUAACAGGUGGCUUGCUGAGGAUGAAAGUGAUGGCUGCACUGUAGUGCAACUCUAUCCAUAGCUGCUUGAUUUCUGAUUCUUUCUGAGUGUGCUGCUUCUCCAAAUUCAUGAUGAUUUGAUUUACUUGUAUUUUAUAAUUCUGAAGCGAAUACUCUUCUUCAGGAGCUGCCUUCGGUAUUUGAAAAUUAUUUUCUCUACCUAUACAGUGUACAAAUCAGGUUUUGGAUUUGCUUCCCUGGAUCUAGAGCCGUGUAUCAUGGAAUCAUAGAAUCGCAGAAUGGUUUGGGUUGGAAGGGACCUUCAAGAUCACCUAGUUCCACCCCACCUGCCAUGGGCAGGGACACCCUCCACUAGACCACGUUGCCCAAAGCCCCAUCCAGCCUGGCCUUGAACACUGCCAGGGAUGGGGCAUCCACAGCUUCUCUGGUUGAGGUAUAAACAACUCAACACUUUCACUAACAGGACCACCACAGCAGAGGGCUUCAUGUCAAGCACAUCAUGGAUCCUUGCAGCACAUAUUACCGGGGGAUUACACUUUGUUAAGAAAACCUGAAAUACCAUAAGAAUCUCUCCCUCAGGUCUUGCUUGGAAGACAUGCCAGCUAGCAUAUUUAGCUUGUGACUAGUGCCAAACCCCAAACUUGCCUCUUCCACAUGGCAUACAGUGAUCUAUGCUGUGUUUGGCACAGAAGUCAGUUAAUCUCUAUCCCUUGCAAGUGGGACAAUUUUUGGACAAAAUUGCUGCCAAAGACAGAGACAUGAUAGAGGUGCCACCUUGUGUGCGCUCUGCUGUUGCUGCACAGCAAGGUUGCUGCCUUGCUUUUUUCCUCCCAGCACCCUGCCCUGCCUAUGGAGAGCCUGGGCAGAUAUUGACACCACUGAUGCCUCUGUGGGGAACGGAGAUGCAGCAUGGAAAAGAGACUGCCCGGGUCAACAAAAAACCCAGGCAUUUGGCACUCAUGGGAGCCUUGGAAGGGGCAGAGAGAGAACUCAAUCAGCUGGAAAAGCCAAGGCUGUAGUGGAGAGAAGACUUCUGCUGUCUCUCCCUGCUGCAUCCUGUCCUUGAAGAUUGGUGUGAGAGGGCAGUGGCUAGAGGCUUUUGCUGUUAUUAUUAUUGCACUACAGAGAAAGCCUUGAGCUGGAGCUGGGUGCUAAAAUAUAGACGCUGAAGACCAUAACAUAGACUCUUAGGUAUAACAGAGUCUGAAAGUGUUCAUUAAGGGUCCAGUAUUGGUUAAUUCUUUUUUCCUUAUCCACUUUUCCUGAUGUGCUUUUAUAUAUAUUAUUAGGUUAAUCUAGGUGACAUAUUUCUGCCCAUUUAAGCCCUUGAGUGUCUCACUUUCUUUUGCUGAUGAUGUUAAGGAUUUGAAAAAAAUAUAACCAUGUUCUGACUGGCUCAUUGGACCAUUUAAUAUUCUCCCAGCAACUCCAAGUACUGUCUUGCUGAAACGCAUCAUACAAAAUAAAGGAUUCCCUCAUCUUAAGUACAUAUGAGCAGUUAUAUUGGAUCUAUCCAUCCUGUAGUUUGUCAGUUGUGGAAACGGAAUGAGAAUAAGAAAAAAGGAAGUACCAAGUGCUCCUCUGAGCUCCUUUAGAAGUCUUGGAUGAAUACCAUCUAGUCCUGGUGGGUUGUUAGUAUUUAUAAAUGUGUUUGCAAAUAUAAAUAUCCUCUGCUCAUACAUCAAUUUAAAAUGGUCCCUUGGACUUCUUCUUCAUGAAGAAAAGCAGUAGUCUGGAAAAGUCCACAAACUCUUCCAAACUGAGCAGUGCAAAGCAGUGUCAUAACUUUCUGUGCUGUGGCUGAAUCUUUGUUUUACAAUUCUUUGCUUGGCUUGAAUUAAUUUUAUACAGGUGAAGCAAAAGGGGAAAGAAAACAGUAGUUUUCAUUUUCUUCUUCAAACUUUUGAAGAUUCUUAAUUACAUCUUAAAUACAGUGUCACAGAGCAUGCUAAUAUCCCCUUAGGCAUUCCAUAAAUGCUUUUGCCAUUUAUCAUAAAAUGUGAUGCGCUUGGUUGUUGGUUGGUUUCUGCAUGCACAAUGGCAAUGAAAGAGUUGUCAGCAUUGUACAAAGCCCGGUUGCAAGCUCACUUCCUGUGAUGUCUUCCCAUAUGUCUAUGUCUUCUGCUAUCAUUCAUUAUAUAUCUAUGUUUAUCUUUGAUUAUAUUUUAAAAUAUAAUAUAAUAAUAUAUAAGCAACAUGAAAGGUAACUGACAUCCAUUUCUAAAUUGUAAAUGCAAAUUUAAGAAAUCCUGUGUUAAACCUUUUAAAAAUUCUAGGAAAUAGUUUCUUCUUUCAUACAUAAUAUGGAAGUCAGUAUGCUGUCAUCAA
Grus americana (Whooping crane) is the source of this 10905-nucleotide RNA transcript. It is a transcript of the gene named RP1 axonemal microtubule associated, with no coding region annotated. Lineage: Eukaryota; Metazoa; Chordata; Aves; Gruiformes; Gruidae. The transcript is spliced from 60 exons. The record is from RefSeq and is a predicted model, not a curated record.